RNAcentral lists this ribosomal RNA (320 nucleotides) under uncultured eukaryote. RNAcentral describes it as "partial 18S ribosomal RNA". It matches the Rfam family "Eukaryotic small subunit ribosomal RNA", at positions 1470 to 1796 of the family's 1831-position model. The record is from RNAcentral.
CCCCUAGAUGUUCUGGGCCGCACGCGCGCUACACUGAACAGUUCAACAAGUCUUAACCUUGGCCGAUAGGUCUGGGUAAUCUUUGAACGCUGUUCGUGAUUGGGAUAGACCUUUGCAAUUAUGGGUCUUCAACGAGGAAUUCCUAGUAAACGCAAGUCAUCAGCUUGCAUUGAUUACGUCCCUGCCCUUUGUACACACCGCCCGUCGCACCUACCGAUUGAAUGGUCCGGUGAAAUCUCGGGACGGCGGCUUCGUCGCUUGCGUCCGACUGCUGAAACUUGAUUAAACCAUAUCAUUUAGAGGAAGGUGAAGUCGUAACA